GAACGCUGGCGGCAGGCCUAACACAUGCAAGUCGGGCGGUAACAUUUCUAGCUUGCUAGAAGAUGACGAGCGGCGGACGGGUGAGUAACGCGUAGAAAUCUACCUAGUAGUGGGGGAUAGCCCAGAGAAAUUUGGAUUAAUACCGCAUACGCCCUACGGGGGAAAGCGGGGGAUCUUCGGACCUCGUGCUAUUAGAUGAGUCUGCGUCGGAUUAGCUUGUUGGUGAGGUAAUGGCUCACCAAGGCGACGAUCCGUAGCUGGUCUGAGAGGAUGACCAGCCACACUGGAACUGAGACACGGUCCAGACUCCUACGGGAGGCAGCAGUGGGGAAUAUUGCACAAUGGGCGCAAGCCUGAUGCAGCCAUGCCGCGUGUGUGAAGAAGGCCUUAGGGUUGUAAAGCACUUUCAGCAGUGAGGAAAGGGGUGUCGUUAAUAGCGCCAUCCUGUGACGUUAACUGCAGAAGAAGGACCGGCUAACUCCGUG
This 485-nucleotide ribosomal RNA is filed under the name uncultured bacterium. RNAcentral describes it as "bacterial SSU rRNA". It matches the Rfam family "Bacterial small subunit ribosomal RNA", at positions 31 to 507 of the family's 1533-position model. The record is from RNAcentral.